Long non-coding RNA from Cavia porcellus (domestic guinea pig), 1516 nucleotides. RefSeq lists it as uncharacterized. Lineage: Eukaryota; Metazoa; Chordata; Mammalia; Rodentia; Caviidae. The transcript has 3 exons. The record is from RefSeq and is a predicted model, not a curated record.
GAAGACUAUUUUUUGCUUUUGUUUUUCUUUUUUGUCUUUUUGAGACAGGGUCUGCCUGCAUUGCAGGCUGGCCUUGAGCUCACUUUGUAGCCCAGGCUAGUCUCCAACUUGAAUGAUCCUCCUGAGUGCUGGGGAUUACAGGUGUACACCACCACGUCUGGCAGGUUAUUGAUUUUUGAGUGUUGACCUUGUAUCCAGCUAUGCUACUGAAUUCAGUUAUUAAAUCUAGAAAUCUUUGCUCCAGAUGUUCCUGCAUCACCACAAGCCUAAAGCAUAAAGUCCAUGGUUGGACCUGGCCAACUAUGGACUGAAACCAUGAGCCAAAAUAACCUUUCCUCCCUGUACUAUUGUUAUUGUUAUUGUUAGGUAUGUUGUCACAGCAACAAACGGGGACACACUGCUGGCACGGAAUCAUGUGUUUGUCAGCCACCCCAGGUGUGUCAUCCAAGUGUGCGGUUCCCUCAGGCCAGAGCAGGUUUUUCUGUCUUCCCUGUAACUCCAGGUAGAGAUAGCAGCAGACACAGACAGGACGGAGGGUCCCCUUUCACUUUGUACCCAGCCGGUGGCUUUCUGAGUCAGUUUUCCCCUUUAAAUCUGUCCUCGUUUCUCGUUUUCACAUGUUUUCUCUUUCUAGGAGGGAGGCACGAGGAGAACAGAGAUUGAAGGGAGGGACAGUGAGAUGUCUCCCUGUCUUUCCUUGAAGGCCUGGCCACCUGUACUCUCACUGGAGGUUUGGGGCACCCCUUGCAAGCCCUACAUCUGCAUCCUGCCAAGGCUCAGGCAGAGUCUGGCCAGGACAUUAGAGAACACAUUAGCACAUAUCGGGGGCCUGCCAGUGCUGGGUACCCAGACACUUCUUUGUUGUCCUUGUUUGCUACACUGUUGUUGUCGUGGUUUCUAACUAUACUGACAGGCCCAGGACUGAGAUUACAGCCAAAAUGGGAAGGCAGCGGGGAGGAAAGAGGCCGAGGGCAUGCCGGGAGGGGGGCAUUGGAAGAGACCCCUCCGAGGCCAUGUCCAGUCUGUUGUCCACUAACGCCGACUUUCUUCUCUGUCAACAGUAUUUCACUUUCAGUACUGUCAGCUGAUUCUUUCUAACGGUCACACGCUGUUUGUACUGUUGCUGAUGCUCUCAUUCCAAGGCUGUGAGUCCCUACUUCAGUUUUCUGAGCCUCAGACAUUGACCUUGGCUGCACAGCCACUGGGAGUUACCUAAGAAGUUAAAAACUGGCAUUUAGAGAAUGAUGGUGAUCGGAGACUGGGGAGGAGGGAAAGGGGAAGCUAUUGCUCAAUGUGUUUAGGAUUUCCUGUCUGCAAGAUGGACAGGUUCCGGAGAUUGCUUCACAACGAUGCGGAAUCCUUCACGCUGCGAACUGCACAGUGCCUUUGGCUUAUACAAAAAUGCUCCUGGUAUCCUAGAAAGACCUGCUCCGUAGCCAGAUGAUUUCGAGGAUUUUCAAAGGCUGGAAGACAUUCAAGGAACAAGAAGAAAGCUGCCUUGGGAAUAUUCCAGAAA